GGUUAAGCGACUAAGCGUACACGGUGGAUGCCCUGGCAGUCAGAGGCGAUGAAGGACGUGCUAAUCUGCGAUAAGCGUCGGUAAGGUGAUAUGAACCGUUAUAACCGGCGAUUUCCGAAUGGGGAAACCCAGUGUGAUUCGUCACACUAUCAUUAACUGAAUCCAUAGGUUAAUGAGGCGAACCGGGGGAACUGAAACAUCUAAGUACCCCGAGGAAAAGAAAUCAACCGAGAUUCCCCCAGUAGCGGCGAGCGAACGGGGAGCAGCCCAGAGCCUGAAUCAGUGUGUGUGUUAGUGGAAGCGUCUGGAAAGGCGUGCGAUACAGGGUGACAGCCCCGUACACAAAAAUGCACAUACUGUGAGCUCGAUGAGUAGGGCGGGACACGUGGUAUCCUGUCUGAAUAUGGGGGGACCAUCCUCCAAGGCUAAAUACUCCUGACUGACCGAUAGUGAACCAGUACCGUGAGGGAAAGGCGAAAAGAACCCCGGCGAGGGGAGUGAAAAAGAACCUGAAACCGUGUACGUACAAGCAGUGGGAGCACAGAGCAAUCUGUGUGACUGCGUACCUUUUGUAUAAUGGGUCAGCGACUUAUAUUCUGUAGCAAGGUUAACCGAAUAGGGGAGCCGAA
RNAcentral lists this ribosomal RNA (629 nucleotides) under Escherichia coli. Its description in RNAcentral is "partial 23S ribosomal RNA". It matches the Rfam family "Bacterial large subunit ribosomal RNA", at positions 1 to 670 of the family's 2925-position model. Lineage: Bacteria; Pseudomonadati; Pseudomonadota; Gammaproteobacteria; Enterobacterales; Enterobacteriaceae. The record is from RNAcentral.